Molecule: non-coding RNA, 30 nt
Filed under: Rattus norvegicus (Norway rat)
Lineage: Eukaryota; Metazoa; Chordata; Mammalia; Rodentia; Muridae
Source: RNAcentral
UACGCCUAGAUUAGGCAGGUUUUGGAGCUA